Molecule: ribosomal RNA, 253 nt
Filed under: uncultured bacterium
Lineage: Bacteria
Description: partial 16S ribosomal RNA
Rfam family: Bacterial small subunit ribosomal RNA
Source: RNAcentral
UACGUAGGGUGCGAGCGUUGUCCGGAUUUAUUGGGCGUAAAGAGCUCGUAGGCGGCUCGUCGCGUCGACCGUGAAAACCCGCGGCUUAACUGCGGGCUUGCGGUUGAUACGGGCGGGCUAGAGUUCGGUAGGGGAGACUGGAAUUCCUGGUGUAGCGGUGAAAUGCGCAGGUAUCAGGAGGAACACCGGUGGCGAAGGCGGGUCUCUGGGCCGAUACUGACGCUGAGGAGCGAAAGCGUGGGGAGCGAACAGG